Molecule: non-coding RNA, 74 nt
Organism: Myotis brandtii (Brandt's bat)
Lineage: Eukaryota; Metazoa; Chordata; Mammalia; Chiroptera; Vespertilionidae
Source: Rfam
GGCGGUUCUCGGUGAUGCACACCAGAAUUGGGCUUCCUCCUCUCUGGUUCCGGAUGCAUCACCCAAGAACCACA